This 468-nucleotide ribosomal RNA is filed under the name uncultured bacterium. RNAcentral describes it as "partial 16S ribosomal RNA". It matches the Rfam family "Bacterial small subunit ribosomal RNA", at positions 28 to 507 of the family's 1533-position model. The record is from RNAcentral.
GACGAACGCUGGCGGCGUGCUUAACACAUGCAAGUCGAACGGAAAGGCCCUGCUUUUGUGGGGUGCUCGAGUGGCGAACGGGUGAGUAACACGUGAGUAACCUGCCCUUGACUUUGGGAUAACUUCAGGAAACUGGGGCUAAUACCGGAUAGGAGCUCCUGCUGCAUGGUGGGGGUUGGAAAGUUUCGGCGGUUGGGGAUGGACUGGCGGCUUAUCAGCUUGUUGGUGGGGUAGUGGCUUACCAAGGCUUUGACGGGUAGCCGGCCUGAGAGGGUGACCGGCGACAUUGGGACUGAGGUACGGCCCAGACUCCUACGGGAGGCAGCAGUGGGGAAUAUUGCACAAUGGGCGGAAGCCUGAUGCAGAAACGCCGCGUGCGGGAUGACGGCCUUCGGGUUGUAAACCGCUGUCGCCUGUGACGAAGCGUGAGUGACGGUAAUGGGUAAAGAAGCACCGGCUAACUACGUG